AACAGGUCGCCGACUGCGGCCCCGGACGAGGGAUCAGUACCCGGAACGCGACAAGACUGGCCACA
RNAcentral lists this non-coding RNA (65 nucleotides) under Agromyces sp. Lineage: Bacteria; Bacillati; Actinomycetota; Actinomycetes; Micrococcales; Microbacteriaceae. The record is from RNAcentral.